Long non-coding RNA from Pelobates fuscus (common spadefoot toad), 456 nucleotides. RefSeq lists it as uncharacterized. The record is from RefSeq and is a predicted model, not a curated record. The transcript has 3 exons. NCBI's taxonomy places the organism in Eukaryota, Metazoa, Chordata, Amphibia, Anura, Pelobatidae.
UAUAACAAGUAAAGAUGGUCCAUUCCAGGCUUGCCAUUCUGUAAUCAACCCAGACAGAUUCUUGAGUGGCUGUGUGUUUGAUCUGUGUGCCCUUGGUGAUACUGCUCUGUGCAAUGCAUUAGAGGCAUAUGGUGAUGCCUGCCAAGGGGCUGGAGUUAGCAUCACUUGGAGAAACUCAACAUUCUGCCCACUCAAGUGUCCUGCCAACAGUCACUAUAAUCCAUGCUCCAGUGCAUGUCCUGACACCUGUCUGAAUCAGAAUCCAUCAAAUAAUUGCAGCAAGCCAUGCAUUGAGAGCUGCCAGUGUGAUGAUGGCUUUGUGCUUAGUGGAACUACCUGUGUUCCUGUCAGUGAUUGUGGAUGCUUUUACAAUGGCAAAUAUUAUCAGAAAGGAGACAUAUUCUGGCAAGGAGACUGUGAAGGACAAUGUACAUGUGUUGGAAAUAACCAUGUGGA